Molecule: long non-coding RNA, 685 nt
Organism: Girardinichthys multiradiatus
Lineage: Eukaryota; Metazoa; Chordata; Actinopteri; Cyprinodontiformes; Goodeidae
Exons: 2
Source: RefSeq, a predicted model, not a curated record
UUUAUUUCAAGCACUGUAUUUGUCGGGAUCUGGGUUGUGUUUGUGUAUUUUGUGCUUGCAACUUGUGUUUCAGUGUUUCCAGACUGUGCUGAAGUUCGCAGGUGUGCUGGGUGACAGGUGCGACUUAUCCUGCUGAUUGCUUGGUGGAGUAUUUAAGCAGGUGGCUGCCAGUACUUCGAUACCAGAGUGUUUGCCUUCUGUGACCAAGUACCAGGACCUUUUGGAUUUACAUCUCUGAACCACGGAUUCUGUGAGCUAAGUGUUUCCUGGUUAAACUUCGUUUUGUGGAUUUCGUUCUCUACUUCGUUUUGGUCUGGAUCUUCGACCAAGCUGGCAGUUUCCUGCAACCUUCAUCUCCUGGACCAAGAACUAAGCGUAACCUGUCCACCCUCCACCGCAAGUAUCAGCACAAGGAAACAACCUCACCUUUUCACCAAGCACAAUUAAGUCACAACCAAGUGAUCAACUAAGUAGACUGGAUUUCAACAACCCGAAUCCCUCUAUCACUGGCGACCUGACCACAUCCAUUCAUUAAGCCGGAUGUUUCCUUCCCGAAAUUUCUUGUUUAUUGCCAUCUCCAUGUGUUCCCUGUAUUUACCAAUUCUCUUCCCCAACAGUUGGAGUUUUGCCUGUUUACGUUCCCUAUUCAUUUUGUUCCCAAAUAAACAACUUUUAUUACUUUUCA